UGGGGAAUAUUGCACAAUGGGCGGAAGCCUGAUGCAGCGACGCCGCGUGGGGGAUGAAGGCCUUCGGGUUGUAAACUCCUUUCGACAGGGACGAAGCUUUUGUGACGGUACCUGUAUAAGAAGCACCGGCUAACUACGUGCCAGCAGCCGCGGUAAUACGUAGGGUGCGAGCGUUGUCCGGAAUUACUGGGCGUAAAGAGCUCGUAGGUGGUUUGUCGCGUCGUCUGUGAAAUUCCGGGGCUUAACUCCGGGCGUGCAGGCGAUACGGGCUGACUUGAGUGCUGUAGGGGAGACUGGAAUUCCGGGUGUAGCGGUGAAAUGCGCAGAUAUCAGGAGGAACACCGAUGGCGAAGGCAGGUCUCUGGGCAGUAACUGACGCUGAGGAGCGAAAGCAUGGGUAGCGAACAGG
This 409-nucleotide ribosomal RNA is filed under the name Actinomycetes bacterium. RNAcentral describes it as "Actinobacteria bacterium partial 16S ribosomal RNA". It matches the Rfam family "Bacterial small subunit ribosomal RNA", at positions 355 to 776 of the family's 1533-position model. The record is from RNAcentral. Lineage: Bacteria; Bacillati; Actinomycetota; Actinomycetes.